GAGCCAGGGAAUAAUAUUCAGAGGCAUCUCACAAUUUUUGGUGAUUUUUGGACAUACUAAUAAAUUAUUAAAAUUCAUCAAAGCCUUAUUUGGUAAUUAAAAGAGCCAAUUUUCAUAUCCUGGCAAAUUAACAUAAAACAGAGCCUAAUAUUUUUCUUGGGUUCUAACUAUUUCAGGGAAUUUAUACAAAAAUUUUCAUCAUUUUUGGAUCACUACAAAAUUUAUAACAUAAAUUCAAACAUCAAGCAAUUUUAAUCAAAAAGGAAAAAGAAAAAAAAACAGCGCAGCGGGCGGCCUGGAAACUGGGCCGCAGGCCGGCC
Molecule: long non-coding RNA, 320 nt
Filed under: Sorghum bicolor (sorghum)
Lineage: Eukaryota; Viridiplantae; Streptophyta; Magnoliopsida; Poales; Poaceae
Description: long non-coding RNA (SBIC_LNC012882)
Source: RNAcentral